CGCACAUUGCGCCCGUUGGUAUUCCGACGGGCAUGUCUGUCCGAGCGUCUAUUAAAACUUAUAUAAAUGUUGAAUGAUCUGGUCAAUUGGACAUUCUUAAAUCAUUCUGGCAUGAUUUAGCCAAGUGUCUUGAAAAUUCGCUUGUUGCUGAAUCACGUUUAGUUUUUUUCUCUUUUAGACUUCGUCCAAUAGAGAAGAAAGGUCUAGUCCUCGGACACACAAGGAUACCCGCUGAACUUAA
This 241-nucleotide unclassified non-coding RNA is filed under the name Orbilia delicatula. Its description in RNAcentral is "partial contains 5.8S ribosomal RNA and internal transcribed spacer 2". Lineage: Eukaryota; Fungi; Ascomycota; Orbiliomycetes; Orbiliales; Orbiliaceae. The record is from RNAcentral.